UACAGACUGGGGAUGUCAUCUACUUGGUGUA
Molecule: non-coding RNA, 31 nt
Filed under: Homo sapiens (human)
Lineage: Eukaryota; Metazoa; Chordata; Mammalia; Primates; Hominidae
Source: RNAcentral